Molecule: long non-coding RNA, 633 nt
Filed under: Marmota monax (woodchuck)
Lineage: Eukaryota; Metazoa; Chordata; Mammalia; Rodentia; Sciuridae
Source: RNAcentral
CAGUUUUACGUUUCUCAUGAAUGCUAGGAACUCGGACAAGUUAAUGUUAUCUGUAAAAAAGCGCCUGCUUCCAUGAACACCAGAACAGCCACUCCUUGGAAUGAUGGCCAUACAAGGAAGAAAGCAAACUAAGCCACUAACAACGGCACUGCUUCUACCAACUAACUUAUAAAAGACCUCUUCCUUGUAGUAGCUAAUGUAAGCUCAAUACACAGGGAAGAGUGUGCAUGUCACUCAUCCCACUGGUGUUACUGCUCAGUGAGAGAUGGAGACACUGCUUUCUGGAGCAAUGCUGUGAGGGAUGGCAAGGUACCGUGAGGGACAGAGGUGCUACCUGUUCAGCCUUUGGGAGUAAAUUGUGUCUCACACACCAUCUCCAGGUUCUUUAUUUGACUUUUCAGCAACCUACCCUACUGCCCUAGCACCACUGGGCUGUGGAUCUGAAACUAGGCUUUAUGGCUUUAUUUGUAUUACUUUCUAAAUGUGCUUUUUGUAUAAUUAUAUAACAACUGUUGAAUUUUAUUUUAUAGCUUAAUUGUAUUGAUUUAUAAAAUUGGUUUUAUCUUAUACUAGAACUAUAAAGCAUAUUCCAUAUGUUUACUUAAGAUUAUAAAACAUUGAAGCCAUCUCUGG